RNAcentral lists this ribosomal RNA (791 nucleotides) under uncultured bacterium. RNAcentral describes it as "bacterial SSU rRNA". It matches the Rfam family "Bacterial small subunit ribosomal RNA", at positions 48 to 839 of the family's 1533-position model. The record is from RNAcentral.
CUUACACAUGCAGUCGAGCGGUAGCACAGGGGAGCUUGCUCCCUGGGUGACGAGCGGCGGACGGGUGAGUAAUGUCUGGGAAACUGCCUGAUGGAGGGGGAUAACUACUGGAAACGGUAGCUAAUACCGCAUAACGUCGCAAGACCAAAGAGGGGGACCUUCGGGCCUCUUGCCAUCAGAUGUGCCAGAUGGGAUUAGCUAGUAGGUGGGGUAAUGGCUCACCUAGGCGACGAUCCCUAGCUGGUCUGAGAGGAUGACCAGCCACACUGGAACUGAGACACGGUCCAGACUCCUACGGGAGGCAGCAGUGGGGAAUAUUGCACAAUGGGCGCAAGCCUGAUGCAGCCAUGCCGCGUGUGUGAAGAAGGCCUUCGGGUUGUAAAGCACUUUCAGCGAGGAGGAAGGUGGUGAACUUAAUACGUUCAUCAAUUGACGUUACUCGCAGAAGAAGCACCGGCUAACUCCGUGCCAGCAGCCGCGGUAAUACGGAGGGUGCAAGCGUUAAUCGGAAUUACUGGGCGUAAAGCGCACGCAGGCGGUUUGUUAAGUCAGAUGUGAAAUCCCCGGGCUCAACCUGGGAACUGCAUUUGAAACUGGCAAGCUAGAGUCUCGUAGAGGGGGGUAGAAUUCCAGGUGUAGCGGUGAAAUGCGUAGAGAUCUGGAGGAAUACCGGUGGCGAAGCGGCCCCCUGGACGAAGACUGACGCUCAGUGCGAAAGCGUGGGGAGCAACAGAUUAGAUACCCUGGUAGUCACGCUGUAACGAUGUCGAUUUGGAGUUGUGCCCUUGAGC